UUAAGCGACUAAGCGUACACGGUGGAUGCCCUGGCAGUCAGAGGCGAUGAAGGACGUGCUAAUCUGCGAUAAGCGUCGGUAAGGUGAUAUGAACCGUUAUAACCGGCGAUUUCCGAAUGGGGAAACCCAGUGUGAUUCGUCACACUAUCAUUAACUGAAUCCAUAGGUUAAUGAGGCGAACCGGGGGAACUGAAACAUCUAAGUACCCCGAGGAAAAGAAAUCAACCGAGAUUCCCCCAGUAGCGGCGAGCGAACGGGGAGGAGCCCAGAGCCUGAAUCAGUGUGUGUGUUAGUGGAAGCGUCUGGAAAGGCGCGCGAUACAGGGUGACAGCCCCGUACACAAAAAUGCACAUGCUGUGAGCUCGAUGAGUAGGGCGGGACACGUGGUAUCCUGUCUGAAUAUGGGGGGACCAUCCUCCAAGGCUAAAUACUCCUGACUGACCGAUAGUGAACCAGUACCGUGAGGGAAAGGCGAAAAGAACCCCGGCGAGGGGAGUGAAAAAGAACCUGAAACCGUGUACGUACAAGCAGUGGGAGCCUCUUUAUGGGGUGACUGCGUACCUUUUGUAUAAUGGGUCAGCGACUUAUAUUCUGUAGCAAGGUUAACCGAAUAGGGGAGCCGAAGGGAAACCGAGUCUUAACUGGGCGUUAAGUUGCAGGGUAUAGACCCGAAACCCGGUGAUCUAGCCAUGGGCAGGUUGAAGGUUGGGUAACACUAACUGGAGGACCGAACCGACUAAUGUUGAAAAAUUAGCGGAUGACUUGUGGCUGGGGGUGAAAGGCCAAUCAAACCGGGAGAUAGCUGGUUCUCCCCGAAAGCUAUUUAGGUAGCGCCUCGUGAACUCAUCUCCGGGGGUAGAGCACUGUUUCGGCAAGGGGGUCAUCCCGACUUACCAACCCGAUGCAAACUGCGAAUACCGGAGAAUGUUAUCACGGGAGACACACGGCGGGUGCUAACGUCCGUCGUGAAGAGGGAAACAACCCAGACCGCCAGCUAAGGUCCCAAAGUCAUGGUUAAGUGGGAAACGAUGUGGGAAGGCCCAGACAGCCAGGAUGUUGGCUUAGAAGCAGCCAUCAUUUAAAGAAAGCGUAAUAGCUCACUGGUCGAGUCGGCCUGCGCGGAAGAUGUAACGGGGCUAAACCAUGCACCGAAGCUGCGGCAGCGACGCUUAUGCGUUGUUGGGUAGGGGAGCGUUCUGUAAGCCUGUGAAGGUGGCCUGUGAGGGUUGCUGGAGGUAUCAGAAGUGCGAAUGCUGACAUAAGUAACGAUAAAGCGGGUGAAAAGCCCGCUCGCCGGAAGACCAAGGGUUCCUGUCCAACGUUAAUCGGGGCAGGGUGAGUCGACCCCUAAGGCGAGGCCGAAAGGCGUAGUCGAUGGGAAACAGGUUAAUAUUCCUGUACUUGGUGUUACUGCGAAGGGGGGACGGAGAAGGCUAUGUUGGCCGGGCGACGGUUGUCCCGGUUUAAGCGUGUAGGCUGGUUUUCCAGGCAAAUCCGGAAAAUCAAGGCUGAGGCGUGAUGACGAGGCACUACGGUGCUGAAGCAACAAAUGCCCUGCUUCCAGGAAAAGCCUCUAAGCAUCAGGUAACAUCAAAUCGUACCCCAAACCGACACAGGUGGUCAGGUAGAGAAUACCAAGGCGCUUGAGAGAACUCGGGUGAAGGAACUAGGCAAAAUGGUGCCGUAACUUCGGGAGAAGGCACGCUGAUAUGUAGGUGAAGUGCCUUGCUGGUGGAGCUGAAAUCAGUCGAAGAUACCAGCUGGCUGCAACUGUUUAUUAAAAACACAGCACUGUGCAAACACGAAAGUGGACGUAUACGGUGUGACGCCUGCCCGGUGCCGGAAGGUUAAUUGAUGGGGUUAGCGGUAACGCGAAGCUCUUGAUCGAAGCCCCGGUAAACGGCGGCCGUAACUAUAACGGUCCUAAGGUAGCGAAAUUCCUUGUCGGGUAAGUUCCGACCUGCACGAAUGGCGUAAUGAUGGCCAGGCUGUCUCCACCCGAGACUCAGUGAAAUUGAACUCGCUGUGAAGAUGCAGUGUACCCGCGGCAAGACGGAAAGACCCCGUGAACCUUUACUAUAGCUUGACACUGAACAUUGAGCCUUGAUGUGUAGGAUAGGUGGGAGGCUUUGAAGUGUGGACGCCAGUCUGCAUGGAGCCGACCUUGAAAUACCACCCUUUAAUGUUUGAUGUUCUAACGUUGGCCCGUAAUCCGGGUUGCGGACAGUGUCUGGUGGGUAGUUUGACUGGGGCGGUCUCCUCCUAAAGAGUAACGGAGGAGCACGAAGGUUGGCUAAUCCUGGUCGGACAUCAGGAGGUUAGUGCAAUGGCAUAAGCCAGCUUGACUGCGAGCGUGACGGCGCGAGCAGGUGCGAAAGCAGGUCAUAGUGAUCCGGUGGUUCUGAAUGGAAGGGCCAUCGCUCAACGGAUAAAAGGUACUCCGGGGAUAACAGGCUGAUACCGCCCAAGAGUUCAUAUCGACGGCGGUGUUUGGCACCUCGAUGUCGGCUCAUCACAUCCUGGGGCUGAAGUAGGUCCCAAGGGUAUGGCUGUUCGCCAUUUAAAGUGGUACGCGAGCUGGGUUUAGAACGUCGUGAGACAGUUCGGUCCCUAUCUGCCGUGGGCGCUGGAGAACUGAGGGGGGCUGCUCCUAGUACGAGAGGACCGGAGUGGACGCAUCACUGGUGUUCGGGUUGUCAUGCCAAUGGCACUGCCCGGUAGCUAAAUGCGGAAGAGAUAAGUGCUGAAAGCAUCUAAGCACGAAACUUGCCCCGAGAUGAGUUCUCCCUGACCCUUUAAGGGUCCUGAAGGAACGUUGAAGACGACGACGUUGAUAGGCCGGGUGUGUAAGCGCAGCGAUGCGUUGAGCUAACCGGUACUAAUGAACCGUGAG
RNAcentral lists this ribosomal RNA (2893 nucleotides) under Escherichia coli HVH 82 (4-2209276). RNAcentral describes it as "bacterial LSU rRNA". It matches the Rfam family "Bacterial large subunit ribosomal RNA". The record is from RNAcentral. Lineage: Bacteria; Pseudomonadati; Pseudomonadota; Gammaproteobacteria; Enterobacterales; Enterobacteriaceae.